UGCCGGAAUCCGACGCUCUCCCCAAGGACACAAGCCAUGCAUGCCCCCGCGCACCCGGGAGGCGGCGGACGGCUCAGGACAACGGUUGCACCCCCCGCGGCGGUCCCUGCUAGCCGGACACCGCUGGCAACCCGGCGCCAAGACGUGCGCGCAAGGGCGGGCGCCCGCGGGCGAGCAGCGUGACGCAGCGACGGCCCGCCCGGGCUUCCGGGGCAUCACCCG
This 222-nucleotide ribosomal RNA is filed under the name Giardia duodenalis. RNAcentral's name for it is "Giardia intestinalis partial small subunit ribosomal RNA". The record is from RNAcentral. Lineage: Eukaryota; Fornicata; Diplomonadida; Hexamitidae.